GACGAACGCUGGCGGCGUGCUUAACACAUGCAAGUCGAACGGAAAGGCCCUGCUUUUGUGGGGUGCUCGAGUGGCGAACGGGUGAGUAACACGUGAGUAACCUGCCCUUGACUUUGGGAUAACUUCAGGAAACUGGGGCUAAUACCGGAUAGGAUCUCCUGCUCCAUGGUGGGGGUUGGAAAGUUUCGGCGGUUGGGGAUGGACUCGCGGCUUAUCAGCUUGUUGGUGGGGUAGGGGCUUACCAAGGCUUUGACGGGUAGCCGGCCUGAGAGGGUGACCGGCCACAUUGGGACUGAGAUACGGCCCAGACUCCUACGGGAGGCAGCAGGGGGGAAUAUUGCACAAUGGGCGGAAGCCUGAUGCAGAAACGCCGCGUGCGGGAUGACGGCCUUCGGGUUGUAAACCGCUGUCGCCUGUGACGAAGCGUGAGUGACGGUAAUGGGUAAAGAAGCACCGGCUAACUACGUG
This 468-nucleotide ribosomal RNA is filed under the name uncultured bacterium. RNAcentral's name for it is "partial 16S ribosomal RNA". It matches the Rfam family "Bacterial small subunit ribosomal RNA", at positions 28 to 507 of the family's 1533-position model. The record is from RNAcentral.